Long non-coding RNA from Stegodyphus dumicola, 858 nucleotides. RefSeq lists it as uncharacterized. NCBI's taxonomy places the organism in Eukaryota, Metazoa, Arthropoda, Arachnida, Araneae, Eresidae. The record is from RefSeq and is a predicted model, not a curated record.
AGCUGGCGUCGGUGUUCCAUAAUGUCCACCCCUGUCUUAACCCUUUAUGCUCCGACUCGACUUGUAAGUCCCAAUUAAUAUUAAGUCAAAUAAAAUUAAAAGUCUUCCAUGAAUUCCAACGGGCCUUUUUACUCAAAAUAUCAUUCACGAAACAUUUUAUCUUUCAAAGGAUUAAUCUCAAUUUUUCCUAACCUUACCUUAUGAUGAUUUUUAUUUCUAGCGAUUAAUAUCUCUUAAGCUCUUUCAUUUAACCUUCUUCUAAUGAUCAGUAGAUGGCAGCACUAUAUAAAUGGUUUGUUCUGCAUCGAUAUGGGUGAACAGUUUCGUCUUACGUUCAGUUUAAAUGGCCAUUUUGCUAAAAAGCUAUUAACGUACUUCCAAGCUUUGUAACAACAGAAUGUUGAUUGAAUAGUGUAUAGACGAAGAAAAUGCUUGACGCCGGAAGAAAUUAAAAUUAUCUGGGAUGAAUUACCAUCUGAUGUUGAAACAUCAGAAGAGGACAGUAGUUCUGACGAAGAUUCACCAGAACAAAAUAAAACAAAUAAUCAAAGUUUGAAUGCGACUAAUAUUCAUAAAAUUUCAGACUUUGAAAGCGAUUCAAGUGAAGACACUGAAAGUGAAGAAAUGACACCAAAAAGAAUUAUGCAAAGUAUAUAUUUGUGUUAAUGAAAAAAAGAACUGCCUUUAUCAAUACCAUAAUUAAUUGUAUAAAAAUAUAUUACUUUUCAUUUAUAUUUAAUAUUUUUUCUUCUUCAUACUAAUGAAUGUAAUGGUAAUGUAAUAAACAUAAAUCCCAAUGGGACUAAGUCCCGUGUAAUAUUCUGUGUUAUUACAAUAAAAAUAAUUAUUGUAAAUGAA